ACGUUAUUGGUGGGAGUGCAGACAAGUUUUGAAACUUUAUUCAAAGGGUGUGUCCUGAUUGCUAAGUUAUUCAAUCUAUUUAUCUUGUGCAGAUGAGAAUCGUUAGGCAAUAGCUUUUUUGCCAAGUUUUGGUCCUCGGUGCUUUGGCUUAACUUGCUACUUUCUGGUCCCUGGUUUACUGAACAUAAAUUUUAGAUGGAAAUAGGGUAAUGAAGUAUAUUGGAGCAAAAAAAAAAACAGUAGGCUACCAUGCGGUUUUGCUGCUGUAACAUACCUGCCUUCAUAAGGAAGUAUAUUUUUUUUCUUUUCUAAUCUAGCUGGUUGUAUAUACCAAUUUCAAAAUUGCUUAAAAUUCUGUAUAGAAAUUGCAUCAGUUCAUGUGCUGAUGGAUGAAUGCAGUCCACUUGUAUCUCUAUUCAUGUUUUUUUCCUCAGUUACCUUCCUUUAUCAGGAGGCCAGUUUUUGUUUAACCAAUUAGAAGAUGGUGCUUUAUCUUUCCAAUUUUCAGUUGUCCAUAUUGCAAAUUAACUAUGAAAUGAGAUGGCGUG
RNAcentral lists this long non-coding RNA (548 nucleotides) under Panax ginseng (ginseng). RNAcentral describes it as "long non-coding RNA (PGIN_LNC009885)". The record is from RNAcentral. Lineage: Eukaryota; Viridiplantae; Streptophyta; Magnoliopsida; Apiales; Araliaceae.